RNAcentral lists this ribosomal RNA (253 nucleotides) under uncultured bacterium. RNAcentral's name for it is "partial 16S ribosomal RNA". It matches the Rfam family "Bacterial small subunit ribosomal RNA", at positions 524 to 776 of the family's 1533-position model. The record is from RNAcentral.
UACGGAGGGUGCGAGCGUUAAUCGGAAUCACUGGGCGUAAAGGGCACGCAGGCGGACUUUCAAGUUAGAUGUGAAAUCCCCGGGCUCAACCUGGGAACUGCAUUACAUACUGGCAGUCUAGAGUAUUUUAGGGAGGGGUAGAAUUCCAAGUGUAGCGGUGAAAUGCGCAGAGAUGUGGAGGAAUACCGGUGGCGAAGGCGGCCCCCUGGACAUAUACUGACGCUCAGGUGCGAAAGCGUGGGGAGCAAACAGG